Molecule: ribosomal RNA, 507 nt
Filed under: uncultured bacterium
Lineage: Bacteria
Description: partial 16S ribosomal RNA
Rfam family: Bacterial small subunit ribosomal RNA
Source: RNAcentral
ACUCAAAGGAAUUGACGGGGGCCCGCACAAGCGGUGGAGUAUGUGGCUUAAUUCGAUGCAACGCGAAGAACCUUACCUGGCCUUGACAUGCAUCUCUAAGCUGGUGAAAGCCAGUGAGUGUCGAAAGACACAAUUUGCACAGGUGCUGCAUGGCUGUCGUCAGCUCGUGUCGUGAGAUGUUGGGUUAAGUCCCGCAACGAGCGCAACCCUUGUGAACUGUUGCCACCGAGCCGUGAGGCUCGAGCACUCUGUUCAGACUGCCCUGUGAAACGGGGAGGAAGGUGAGGACGACGUCAAGUCAGUAUGGCCCUUACGGCCAGGGCUGCACACGUACUACAAUGCCCAGUACAGAACGAUCCGAGACCGCAAGGUGGAGGAAAUCUAUCAAAACUGGGCCCAGUUCGGAUUGAAGUCUGCAACUCGACUUCAUGAAGCCGGAAUCGCUAGUAAUGGCGUAUCAGCUACGACGCCGUGAAUACGUUCCCGGGCCUUGUACACACCGCCCGU